GAUGAACGCUAGCGGCAGGCCUAAUACAUGCAAGCCGGACGGCAAGUUGAGUAGCAAUACUUGACCUAGAGUGGCGUAAGGGUGCGUAACACGUAUGCAAUCUGCCCACAGCCGGGGAGAUAGCCCCUCCGAAAGGAGGAUUAAUAUCCCAUAGGAAGAUGAGAUGGCAUCAUUUUAUUUUUAAACUACGGGGCUGUGGAUGAGCAUGCGGUUGAUUAGCUAGUUGGCGGGGUAAAGGCCCACCAAGGCGAUGAUCAAUAGGGGACCUGAGAGGGUGAUCCCCCACACUGGCACUGAGAUACGGGCCAGACUCCUACGGGAGGCAGCAGUAGGGAAUAUUGGACAAUGGGUGUAAGCCUGAUCCAGCCAUGCCGCGUGCAGG
Molecule: ribosomal RNA, 382 nt
Filed under: uncultured bacterium
Lineage: Bacteria
Description: bacterial SSU rRNA
Rfam family: Bacterial small subunit ribosomal RNA
Source: RNAcentral